Molecule: small nuclear RNA, 139 nt
Organism: Molossus molossus (Pallas's mastiff bat)
Lineage: Eukaryota; Metazoa; Chordata; Mammalia; Chiroptera; Molossidae
Product: U4 spliceosomal RNA
Exons: 1
Source: RefSeq, a predicted model, not a curated record
AGCUUUGCGCAGUGGCAGUAUUGUAGCCAAUGAGGUUUAUCCAAGGCACAAUUAUUGCUAAAAAAAAAUCCUCAGGUGAGGAUUAAAAAUAAAUAAUAAAUAAAUAAAAUGGGGCUAAUAAUUGUGUCCCCUAUGCGGG